This is a non-coding RNA of Podarcis lilfordi (Lilford's wall lizard), 73 nucleotides long. The record is from the annotation of a GenBank genome assembly. Lineage: Eukaryota; Metazoa; Chordata; Lepidosauria; Squamata; Lacertidae.
UGGCGAUAGUUUAGUCAGUAGAGCAUGAAACUCUUAUUCUCAGGGUUAUGGGUUCAAGUUCCACAUUGGACAA